This 497-nucleotide ribosomal RNA is filed under the name uncultured bacterium. Its description in RNAcentral is "partial 16S ribosomal RNA". It matches the Rfam family "Bacterial small subunit ribosomal RNA", at positions 28 to 507 of the family's 1533-position model. The record is from RNAcentral.
GAUGAACGCUGGCGGCGUGCCUAAUACAUGCAAGUCGAGCGAACAGAUGAGGAGCUUGCUCCUCUGACGUUAGCGGCGGACGGGUGAGUAACACGUGGAUAACCUACCUAUAAGACUGGGAUAACUUCGGGAAACCGGAGCUAAUACCGGAUAAUAUAUUGAACCGCAUGGUUCAAUAGUGAAAGACGGUUUUGCUGUCACUUAUAGAUGGAUCCGCGCCGCAUUAGCUAGUUGGUAAGGUAACGGCUUACCAAGGCAACGAUGCGUAGCCGACCUGAGAGGGUGAUCGGCCACACUGGAACUGAGAGACGGUCCAGACUCCUACGGGAGGCAGCAGUAGGGAAGCUUCCGCAAUGGGCGAAAGCCUGACGGAGCAAUGCCGCGUGAGUGAUGAAGGUCUUCGGAUCUUAAAACUCUGUUAUUAGGGAAGAACAAAUGUGUAAGUAACUAUGCACGUCUUGACGGUACCUAAUCAGAAAGCCACGGCUAACUACGUG